RNAcentral lists this long non-coding RNA (751 nucleotides) under Canis lupus familiaris (dog). Its description in RNAcentral is "lncRNA (ENSCAFG00845029141.1)". The record is from RNAcentral. Lineage: Eukaryota; Metazoa; Chordata; Mammalia; Carnivora; Canidae.
GUCAGGGUGGAAACCCUCCGUGAGCUCCUGCUGUGGGCACCUACCUGGUGCUCAGUGCUAGUAACUCCCUGAAGCUCGUGCUCUAAGCACCGGUGCUCAUUACUUCAUGCAAACCCCAGCAAAUAACCAAAGAUCCCCAAAUUUUAGGACUUCCCAUGUCCCUUUCUCUCCAACCUUCCCUUCUUCCCAAUGUUGUCAGCCUGGUAGCCUUCAUGGUCUAGCCCAGAAUCCACAAUAUACCAUACUCCAUGGCAAUGUAUAAAGCACAGAUAGUUACAAACAUUAUCUAAUUUUUCACUUUAGCUUGGUGAAAAUUCACAGGUACUCGGAAUUUUAUAGGUAUGACUCUCAGUUUCAGUUUGCCGAAUUCAUCCUGACUUCGACAUUUAAUUUAGCCCUAUUUCUUCCAGCUCCUUUGAGAUAAAAGGCAUCGGACCCCAAGUCCUCCAGUCGGUUCCAUGAUUAAAUGAUUCUAGAGCUGGCUUCCUUACUGCAGGCUGAGCAGCUCCCUUGUUCUGGUUGGAGGUAUUUUCUGUCUUGGACAUUCGACAUCUUGAAAGCAAGCUCCUGUGUUGGUCAUCAUGCCCGGUCCAUAGCUGCUGUCCUGGGACGUUGCCUUCAGCCUCCUCCUGGACUGACUUUCUUUGCUCCCCUGGCCUUCCAUUUCCUGGGUCUCAUCUCUUGUUUUGGUGAGGUGCUCAUAGUCGCUGUACAGAGAUCAGGCUGGGCAGUUCAGUUACAGAACCUCUGA